ACCUAUGGGCAUGCCACACUGAACACACCUGAUUUUGUCUGAUCUCAGAAGCUAAGCAGAGUUGGGCCUGGCUAGUACUUGGAUAGAAGAUGGUUUCACCCUAAAUU
RNAcentral lists this ribosomal RNA (107 nucleotides) under Erinaceus europaeus (western European hedgehog). The record is from RNAcentral. Lineage: Eukaryota; Metazoa; Chordata; Mammalia; Eulipotyphla; Erinaceidae.